GCAAACUUGGUCAUUUAGAGGAAGUAAAAGUCGUAACAAGGUCUCCGUUGGUGAACCAGCGGAGGGAUCAUUACCGAGUUAUUACUCCAAACCCAUUGUGAACCUUACCAUUUGUUCUGUUGCCUCGGCGGGGUAAAACCCGCCGGCAGCACUAAACUCUUGAAUUUUAUAGUGGAUUAUACUUCUGAAUGAAAACACAAAACAAAUCAAAACUUUCAACAACGGAUCUCUUGGUUCUGGCAUCGAUGAAGAACGCAGC
Molecule: unclassified non-coding RNA, 259 nt
Filed under: uncultured fungus
Lineage: Eukaryota; Fungi
Description: partial contains small subunit ribosomal RNA, internal transcribed spacer 1, and 5.8S ribosomal RNA
Rfam family: Eukaryotic small subunit ribosomal RNA (bases 1-73)
Source: RNAcentral